AAGUCGUAACAAGGUUUCCGUAGGUGAACCUGCGGAAGGAUCAUUAUCACGUAUCCACGUUAUAAACCAAUGUUGACAUAGUCUUAAAACCUUUGGAGAAUUUUAUUAAUGGAGUAUGUAUUUGGAUAUUUAAACGUUUUUUGAAGUGAUUAAACGUUGUUCAAAUAUAUCAAACAAUUUUUAAAUUGUACAUUAAUUUCUCUAGAGUUGUAUUAAUCACUUUAUUAUUAACCAUUUUAACAAUAUCAUUAUAACUUUUGAACUAAAUUAAUUUAUACUCUCCUCACAGAGAGAUAAAUAAAAAUUACGAAACUAAAAGAACAACUCUUAGCAACGGAUAUCUUGGUUCUC
Molecule: unclassified non-coding RNA, 351 nt
Filed under: fungal sp.
Lineage: Eukaryota; Fungi
Description: partial internal transcribed spacer region
Rfam family: Eukaryotic small subunit ribosomal RNA (bases 1-46)
Source: RNAcentral